GACGUAGGGCGCAAGCGUUGUUCGGAUUUAUUGGGCGUAAAGAGCUCGUAGGCGGCCUGUCGCGUCGACCGUGAAAACCCGCAGCUCAACUGCGGGCUUGCGGUCGAUACGGGCAGGCUGGAGUUCGGUAGGGGAGACUGGAAUUCCUGGUGUAGCGGUGAAAUGCGCAGAUAUCAGGAGGAACACCGGUGGCGAAGGCGGGUCUCUGGGCCGAUACUGACGCUGAGGAGCGAAAGCAUGGGGAGCGAACAGG
RNAcentral lists this ribosomal RNA (253 nucleotides) under uncultured bacterium. Its description in RNAcentral is "partial 16S ribosomal RNA". It matches the Rfam family "Bacterial small subunit ribosomal RNA", at positions 524 to 776 of the family's 1533-position model. The record is from RNAcentral.